GCCUGGGUGGCUCAGUCGGUUGAGUGUCUGACUUCGGCUCAGGUCAUGAUCUCGCGGUCUGUGAGUUCGAGCCCCGCGUCAGGCC
This 85-nucleotide transfer RNA is filed under the name Felis catus (domestic cat). It matches the Rfam family "tRNA". From Rfam's summary of the family: Transfer RNA (tRNA) molecules are approximately 80 nucleotides in length. Their secondary structure includes four short double-helical elements and three loops (D, anti-codon, and T loops). Lineage: Eukaryota; Metazoa; Chordata; Mammalia; Carnivora; Felidae. The record is from Rfam by way of RNAcentral.